UACGUAGGGUGCAAGCGUUGUCCGGAAUUAUUGGGCGUAAAGAGCUCGUAGGUGGCGGGUCACGUCGGGUGUGAAAGCCCGGGGCUUAACUCCGGGUCGUGCAUUCGAUACGGGUCUGCUGGGGUCCGGCAGGGGAGACUGGAAUUCCUGGUGUAGCGGUGAAAUGCGCAGAUAUCAGGAGGAACACCGGUGGCGAAGGCAGUUCUCUGGGCCGUAACUGACGCUGAGGAGCGAAAGGCGUGGGGGAGCGAACAGG
This 256-nucleotide ribosomal RNA is filed under the name uncultured bacterium. RNAcentral describes it as "partial 16S ribosomal RNA". It matches the Rfam family "Bacterial small subunit ribosomal RNA", at positions 524 to 776 of the family's 1533-position model. The record is from RNAcentral.